ACAGCAGCAGCCACGGGAAUACGAAGGGGGCUAGCGUUGUUCGGAAUUACUGGGCGUAAAGCGCACGUAGGCGGAUAUUUAAGUCAGGGGUGAAAUCCCAGAGCUCAACUCUGGAACUGCCUUUGAUACUGGGUAUCUUGAGUAUGGAAGAGGUGAGUGGAAUUCCGAGUGUAGAGGUGAAAUUCGUAGAUAUUCGGAGGAACACCAGUGGCGAAGGCGGCUCACUGGUCCAUUACUGACGCUGAGGUGCGAAAGCGUGGGGAGCAAACAGGAUUAGAUACCCGCGUAGUCCCUGUCUCUUAUAC
Molecule: ribosomal RNA, 305 nt
Filed under: uncultured bacterium
Lineage: Bacteria
Description: partial 16S ribosomal RNA
Rfam family: Bacterial small subunit ribosomal RNA
Source: RNAcentral